ACCGGCGCACGGGUGCGUAACGCGUAUGCAAUCUACCUUUCACAGAGGGAUAGCCCAGAGAAAUUUGGAUUAAUACCUCAUAGUAUUACGAAAUGGCAUCAUUUUGUAAUUAAAGUCACAACGGUGAAAGAUGAGCAUGCGUCCCAUUAGCUAGUUGGUAAGGUAACGGCUUACCAAGGCUACGAUGGGUAGGGGUCCUGAGAGGGAGAUCCCCCACACUGGUACUGAGACACGGACCAGACUCCUACGGGAGGCAGCAGUGAGGAAUAUUGGACAAUGGGCGCAAGCCUGGUCCAGCCAUGCCGCGUGCAGGAUGACGGUCCUAUGGAUUGUAAACUGCUUUUGCACAGGAAGAAACAUCCCGACGUGUCGGGACUUGACGGUACUGUGAGAAUAAGGAUCGGCUAACUCCGUGCCAGCAGCCGCGGUAAUACGGAGGAUCCAAGCGUUAUCCGGAAUCAUUGGGUUUAAAGGGUCCGUAGGCGGUUUAGUAAGUCAGUGGUGAAAGCCCAUCGCUCAACGGUGGAACGGCCAUUGAUACUGCUAGACUUGAAUUAUUAGGAAGUAACUAGAAUAUGUAGUGUAGCGGUGAAAUGCUUAGAGAUUACAUGGAAUACCAAUUGCGAAGGCAGGUUACUACUAAUGGAUUGACGCUGAUGGACGAAAGCGUGGGUAGCGAACAGGAUUAGAUACCCUGGUAGUCCACGCCGUAAACGAUGGAUACUAGCUGUUGGGAGCAAUCUCAGUGGCUAAGCGAAAGUGAUAAGUAUCCCACCUGGGGAGUACGUUCGCAAGAAUGAAACUCA
RNAcentral lists this ribosomal RNA (806 nucleotides) under uncultured bacterium. Its description in RNAcentral is "bacterial SSU rRNA". It matches the Rfam family "Bacterial small subunit ribosomal RNA", at positions 94 to 903 of the family's 1533-position model. The record is from RNAcentral.